CACGACGUACAUCGACAAACAGCACCAACGUCUUUGACCAUAAAAUCGCUCCUCCUUGUUUCUCAGUCUUUCUCCGUGAUCAAAGGCGUUUCAAUCUCUGCAAGAAGGAAGAGAGCAUUGGAAGAACAUAAUGGUAAAAGCAUAUACACAAGAGCAUGUCUACAAGCACCCGUGGGAGCGGGUGACAUCUGCAUCUUGGCGAAAGUUUACUGAUCCUGAGAACAAGCGCAUAUUGUCUCAUAUUGUUGAAGUUGACACUCUGAACCGCAAGCUUGACCCUGCGUCUGGGAAGCUUUAUACCACUCGUGCUAUCACUGUCCAUGCUCCAGGGCCAUGGUUCAUUCGCAAAAUCAUUGGGCAGGAUAUUUGCCAUUGUGUUGAAUCGACCAUUGUUGACGCUCAAUCACGAUCUAUGCAACUCACCACCCGCAACACCAGUCUCCAGAAGUUUGUGGAAGUGGAGGAGAAGAUCAGAUAUGAACCCCACCCAGAUAAUCCAAAUGGGUGGACAAUUUGCCAACAGGAGACUAGUAUUCGGAUAAAGCCAUUGUCAGCACUAGCAUCAAUGGCAGAGAAGGUGGAGCAACGAUGCGCUGAGAAGUUCUUGCAGAAUAGCGUCAAGGGUAGAGAAGUUAUGGAAAGGAUCUAAGUAGGCAUUGGUGGUGCAGUUCGAUUCUAAAGGAUACCUAUAACUGGGCAUACAUCAGGUAUCUGACCCUGACCAAGUUUACCUCUACUAGAUAUUUCAACAUUGAACAUUCUAUGUUAUAAUAGAGAUUUAAGUGCAAAAUUUUGAUGGAAGCAGAUAUAGUUAACUUUCUUUGUGAUGAAGCAUUAAGUGGCUCAUUGUUCUUGAAAGCUAUGCUUAGGAUGGUUCUAUGCCGAGGGCCUUGGACGCCUCCAUGGAUGAAGAUACACCAAAAACAAAGAGAAGACACCCCAAUAGCUUGGUGGUUUGAUCCUCUAUGAAGCAUCAGUUAAAAAUAGUGGCUGUACUGCAAAGCAGGCCUGUAACACAGAGGUCCCUAUUGUGGGAAAAGUGGUGAAAAAUGGGUUAGCCAAAUUCACAACCAUAUAUUGCUUUCUUUAUGCUCUAUGUAGCAAUACUCUGAUCAGUUAUGCAAACUUUGAGUUUAAGUUA
RNA transcript from Vitis riparia (riverbank grape), 1141 nucleotides. It is a transcript of the gene named protein slowmo homolog, with no coding region annotated. The record is from RefSeq and is a predicted model, not a curated record. NCBI's taxonomy places the organism in Eukaryota, Viridiplantae, Streptophyta, Magnoliopsida, Vitales, Vitaceae. The transcript is spliced from 4 exons.